AAUUGGAGCAUGCAUUGCAUGGCCUCGACACUUGGUGACCGACGACGAUGAUGAUUAAUGAAGAAGAUUGAUCGUGCUGGCUGCUGUUCUCUUUUUCCGCUGUCUCUUUUUUGGUCUUUGCCACGACAAAAUCAAUGAAAAAAACUUAGUUAUGGUUAUUUCCUCAAAAAUCUUGUGAGUUUUAUUAAGUUUUAACAUAGUUAUAGCUUUGGGGACAUACACGAGUGGUGGAGCGAAUGUAUUUCAUAAGUUCUUAAAGUUUGUUGUUUUGCAACGAGUUCAGUUGGAAAAUAUAAAUGAAUUUAGCAAUA
Long non-coding RNA from Salvia miltiorrhiza (redroot sage), 311 nucleotides. RefSeq lists it as uncharacterized. Lineage: Eukaryota; Viridiplantae; Streptophyta; Magnoliopsida; Lamiales; Lamiaceae. The record is from RefSeq and is a predicted model, not a curated record. The transcript is spliced from 2 exons.